GACGAACGCUGGCGGCGUGCUUAACACAUGCAAGUCGAACGGAAAGGCCCUGCUUUUGUGGGGUGCUCGAGUGGCGAACGGGUGAGUAACACGUGAGUAACCUGCCCUUUACUUUGGGAUAACUUCAGGAAACUGGGGCUAAUACCGCAUAGGAGCUCCUGCUGCAUGGUGGGGGUUUGAAAGUUUCGGCGGUUGGGGAUGGACUCGCGGCUUCGCAGCUUGUUGGUGGGGUAGUGGCUUACCAAGGCUUUGACGGGUAGCCGGCCUGAGAGGGUGACCGGCCACAUUGGGACUGAGAUACGGCCCAGACUCCUACGGGAGGCAGCAGUGGGGAAUAUUGCAAAAUGGGCGGAAGCCUGAUGCAGCAACGCCGCGUGCGGGAUGACGGCCUUCGGGUUGUAAACCGCUUUCGCCUGUGACGAAGCGUGAGUGACGGUAAUGGGUAAAGAAGCACCGGCUAACUACGUG
Molecule: ribosomal RNA, 468 nt
Filed under: uncultured bacterium
Lineage: Bacteria
Description: partial 16S ribosomal RNA
Rfam family: Bacterial small subunit ribosomal RNA
Source: RNAcentral